This 264-nucleotide ribosomal RNA is filed under the name uncultured bacterium. Its description in RNAcentral is "partial 16S ribosomal RNA". It matches the Rfam family "Bacterial small subunit ribosomal RNA", at positions 57 to 305 of the family's 1533-position model. The record is from RNAcentral.
GCAAGUCGAACGAGAAAGUUCCUUCGGGAACGAGUAAAGUGGCGCACGGGUGCGUAACACGUGGAUAAUCUGCCCUUCGGUAAGGGAAAACAUUUCGAAAGGAAUGCUAAUACUUUAUAUGACCACAGUAUCUCCGGAUACAGAGGUAAAAGGUGGCCUCUUCUUGAAAGCCAUCGCCCGAGGAUGAGUCUGCGGAACAUUAGCUUGUUGGUGGGGUAAAAGCCUACCAAGGCAAAGAUGUUUAGCUGGUCUGAGAGGAUGAUC